CAAGUCAGGAGCCACUUGUGG
Molecule: microRNA, 21 nt
Filed under: Callorhinchus milii (elephant shark)
Lineage: Eukaryota; Metazoa; Chordata; Chondrichthyes; Chimaeriformes; Callorhinchidae
Description: eshark_NOVEL_196
Source: RNAcentral